UACGAAGGGGGCUAGCGUUGCUCGGAAUUACUGGGCGUAAAGCGCACGUAGGCGGCUUUCUAAGUCGGGGGUGAAAUCCUGGAGCUCAACUCCAGAACUGCCUUCGAUACUGGAAAGCUCGAGUCCGGGAGAGGUGAGUGGAACUGCGAGUGUAGAGGUGAAAUUCGUAGAUAUUCGCAAGAACACCAGUGGCGAAGGCGGCUCACUGGCGCGGUACUGACGCUGAGGUGCGAAAGCGUGGGGAGCAAACAGG
This 253-nucleotide ribosomal RNA is filed under the name uncultured bacterium. Its description in RNAcentral is "partial 16S ribosomal RNA". It matches the Rfam family "Bacterial small subunit ribosomal RNA", at positions 524 to 776 of the family's 1533-position model. The record is from RNAcentral.